Molecule: long non-coding RNA, 2120 nt
Organism: Gasterosteus aculeatus aculeatus (three-spined stickleback)
Lineage: Eukaryota; Metazoa; Chordata; Actinopteri; Perciformes; Gasterosteidae
Source: Ensembl
CAGACGGACCCAGAUGUGGCUUUGCUGCCGCCAUUCGACUUCUGGCAGCCGGAAGCUUUUGGCGGAAGAAGGAGCGCUCGGCACCUGGCAGCAGCGCCUCCUUCUCUACCCAGCAGAGCGUUUUCCUUUCCGUCCUGCAGAUUCAACCCAGACACCACGCUGCUGGAGGCCGUUCCACGAUGCUGGGCCCGCUGGAGGGAAGGGGAGACGCGGGGGGAGAACGGAGAACAGAAGGAGACAAGAACUGGGCAGAAUGGUGUGGACGGGUGUGCGUUGCAUUGGACUGCGCAGAAGACUCCAGUCCGUGUCCUGUCAAGAGACCUGCGAAUUGUGAUUUUAAGAAAGUUUACCUUGUUCGCAUGUUCCGAUCUAUUGCUUCUUGGCAGCUGCUCGGAAAUGGCAGCGACCCAACGGAAACCUCAGGUGUUCCGGAACAUCCCCGUGGAUACACUAUGAGUACAGCUCCUCGUGCUCCUGCUAAGUGAACCCGACUCGGCGGCCCGGCUGAUAGUAGAUCUUAACCCCCUUUUAGAUGUUUCUUGAAAGAAAAGAAGAGGAGUGUUCAGGGCAGCGAGGCAGCGUGUAGGCACACAGAGUAAGUCUGGCUCUGACUCACUGUGGCAGCGGCUUUAAUGAGAGUGGAAAAGCUGCAGUGUUCUCAUGCGAUGCGGAGUCAAAUACUCGCCCUGAGGUCUGCAGGGGGUCAACCGUGGUGCGUAGACGGAGAGAAAGAGAGGAGGAGGAGGAGGGAUAAAAAAAGAAAGAAAAUACAAGUAUACUGUCUAGAAGACAUACAUUCCUUCCAUCACCAAGCACCGAAAUUAUAUCAGUGAGUUUCUAAAAACCAACAGAGGAAUGGAGCUCGACUGACAUCACAUCUGUUUCUGAACCUGAAUAUUUUGACCAGAAGCGGAAGCACAGUUCUCAGGUGGACCAAAUUAAGCUUGUGGGAACACAUAAUGAAGAGUCUCGUCAACGGGGUUACGGGAAUCUUAAUGAGUCACAUGAUUUUGUGUCGUUGAUAAACAAAAGCAGUGGUAAGCUAAAUGUGUAACCUGUGCCGAUGCCGUGGCAGGGAGCCCGAGGGGGCCACAGAGCUCAUGCUGGCUGGCUGCAUGCAGCAAUCUCUGCUGGGAAACGGCCCGGCCUCCCUUUUCUUCACUACAAACUGUGUGCCGAUGAGUUGACUUUUUUGCAGCCUCCCUGUUACGUGGACUUUUAGCUGUUUUUGGUAGGUUAAGGUAGGUAUUUACAACUGGUGAUAAAUGAAGCGGGGCGAACGCUAGAUUUCUGUCAGCAUGAGCAUGGCUCAUUUUAAAGAAGUUGUUAAAGUGCAGGCAUGAACACGCAAACAGACAAUAAAAUAAAGCUGUGACAGUUCCAGUUUUACACAAGCUGUUAUCUUUUUUUUAUUUGCAGCGUAAACCGAAGUAUAAUUAUUAGUAGUCCUUUUUUUCCCACAAUUCACAUGAGGGUGAUGUCAAAAGUCAUGUUUCCAGAUGCUGCAGAUUUGCAUGCUUCUGGACAUUUGCAUGCUCAUUGUAAUAGCGACAUAUUGUUCAGUGAUUACCUGAAAGUCAGACCAUGUAAAAUAAUGUACCCAGUACAAAACGAUCAUCUGUUUAAAAAGAAAAGCGGUUAAAAGCACCACAAAAUGUUUUUUGAAGUCAACGCAACGCAUUUCACUCCAGUGAAAACACAUGUGACGAGGAGAACUCUGCUGCAACGCGUGCCUUACAUCAUGUGAAAACGAAGACACGGCAUUCAUCAAAGAUGGCUGGGUUUGCAUGUCACUGGCAUCAAACGGCUUGUUUUUUUAUAUCCAGCUUCAGUAAUGUAAGUAUUGGGUUUGCCCAGGGCAAAGAUCUGCCCCAUUCAUUAGAGAGUUUCAUCAAUUAACACCACCCACAGGGUUUUGGGAAAAAAGCUCUGAGCGACCGCAAAGGCCACAGUCAGUGUCCCCUCCUUCCUGACGAUUAGUUCUCUGCUCCGGUUUCUUCAAGGACAACAUAUGAUAGGCUGCUUAUCUUUGUGGGAAAUACACCCUCCUUUCACUCAGCAUUGACUAAAAGAUAUUAAAGGGGAAAAGGCCGCUUCACACACACACACACACACACACA